This 484-nucleotide ribosomal RNA is filed under the name uncultured bacterium. RNAcentral's name for it is "partial 16S ribosomal RNA". It matches the Rfam family "Bacterial small subunit ribosomal RNA", at positions 30 to 507 of the family's 1533-position model. The record is from RNAcentral.
AUUGAACGCUGGCGGCAGGCCUAACACAUGCAAGUCGAGCGGAUGAAGGGAGCUUGCUCCUGGAUUCAGCGGCGGACGGGUGAGUAAUGCCUAGGAAUCUGCCUGGUAGUGGGGGAUAACGUCCGGAAACGGGCGCUAAUACCGCAUACGUCCUGAGGGAGAAAGUGGGGGAUCUUCGGACCUCACGCUAUCAGAUGAGCCUAGGUCGGAUUAGCUAGUUGGUGGGGUAAAGGCCUACCAAGGCGACGAUCCGUAACUGGUCUGAGAGGAUGAUCAGUCACACUGGAACGGAGACACGGUCCAGACUCCUACGGGAGGCAGCAGUGGGGAAUAUUGGACAAUGGGCGAAAGCCUGAUCCAGCCAUGCCGCGUGUGUGAAGAAGGUCUUCGGAUUGUAAAGCACUUUAAGUUGGGAGGAAGGGCAGUAAGUUAAUGCCUUGCUGUUUUGACGUUACCAACAGAAUAAGCACCGGCUAACUUCGUG